Molecule: ribosomal RNA, 468 nt
Filed under: uncultured bacterium
Lineage: Bacteria
Description: partial 16S ribosomal RNA
Rfam family: Bacterial small subunit ribosomal RNA
Source: RNAcentral
GACGAACGCUGGCGGCGUGCUUAACACAUGCAAGUCGAACGGAAGGGCCCUGCUUUUGUGGGGUGCUCGAGUGGCGAACGGGUGAGUAACACGUGAGUAACCUGCCCUUGACUUUGGGAUAACUUCAGGAAACUGGGGCUAAUACCGGAUAGGAGCUCCUGCUGCAUGGUGGGGGUUGGAAAGUUUCGGCGGUUGGGGAUGGACUCGCGGCUUAUCAGCUUGUUGGUGGGGUAGUGGCUUACCAAGGCUUUGACGGGUAGCCGGCCUGAGAGGGUGACCGGCCAAAUUGGGACUGAGAUACGGCCCAGACUCCUACGGGAGGCAGCAGUGGGGAAUAUUGCACAAUGGGCGGAAGCCUGAUGCAGCAACGCCGCGUGCGGGAUGACGGCCUUCGGGUUGUAAACCGCUUUCGCCUGUGACGAAGCGUGAGUGACGGUAAUGGGUAAAGAAGCACCGGCUAACUACGUG